UGGACCUCAGAUCAGGCAAGAUUACCCGCUGAGUUUAAGCAUAUCACUAAGCGGAGGAAAAGAAACUAACUAGGAUUUCCCUAGUAGC
Molecule: ribosomal RNA, 88 nt
Filed under: Adelanthus lindenbergianus
Lineage: Eukaryota; Viridiplantae; Streptophyta; Jungermanniopsida; Jungermanniales; Adelanthaceae
Also listed under: 1 other name
Description: partial 26S ribosomal RNA
Rfam family: Eukaryotic large subunit ribosomal RNA
Source: RNAcentral